RNAcentral lists this ribosomal RNA (309 nucleotides) under uncultured bacterium. Its description in RNAcentral is "partial 16S ribosomal RNA". It matches the Rfam family "Bacterial small subunit ribosomal RNA", at positions 504 to 809 of the family's 1533-position model. The record is from RNAcentral.
AGAGACAGCAGUCGCCGCGGGAAUACGGAGGGUGCAAGCGUUAAUCGGAAUUACUGGGCGUAAAGCGCACGCAGGCGGUUUGUUAAGUCAGAUGUGAAAUCCCCGAGCUUAACUUGGGAACUGCAUUUGAAACUGGCAAGCUAGAGUCUUGUAGAGGGGGGUAGAAUUCCAGGUGUAGCGGUGAAAUGCGUAGAGAUCUGGAGGAAUACCGGUGGCGAAGGCGGCCCCCUGGACAAAGACUGACGCUCAGGUGCGAAAGCGUGGGGAGCAAACAGGAUUAGAUACCCGUGUAGUCCCUGUCUCUUAUAA